Molecule: ribosomal RNA, 301 nt
Filed under: uncultured bacterium
Lineage: Bacteria
Description: partial 16S ribosomal RNA
Rfam family: Bacterial small subunit ribosomal RNA
Source: RNAcentral
CAGCAGCCACGGUAAUACGAAGGGUGCAAGCGUUACUCGGAAUUACUGGGCGUAAAGCGUGCGUAGGUGGUGGUUUAAGUCCGUUGUGAAAGCCCUGGGCUCAACCUGGGAAUUGCAGUGGAUACUGGGUCACUAGAGUGUGGUAGAGGAUAGUGGAAUUUCCGGUGUAGCAGUGAAAUGCGUAGAGAUCGGAAGGAACAUCUGUGGCGAAGGCGGCCAUCUGGGACAACACUGACGCUGAAGCACGAAAGCGUGGGGAGCAAACAGGAUUAGAUACCCGCGUAGUCCCUGUCUCUUAUAC